GCCAAUGUGGCUUAGUGGUUUGAGUGCUGGAUAUGAUUCUGGAGAUCUGGGUUCAGUUCCCCACUUGGCCA
This is a non-coding RNA of Phrynosoma platyrhinos (Desert horned lizard), 71 nucleotides long. The record is from the annotation of a GenBank genome assembly. Lineage: Eukaryota; Metazoa; Chordata; Lepidosauria; Squamata; Phrynosomatidae.